GACCAACGCUGGCGGCGUGCUUAAAACAUGCAAGUCGAACGAGACGAUUGAAAGCUUGCUUUCGAAAGUCGAGUGGCAAACGGGUGAGUAACGCGUAGACAACCUGCCUUUGAGAUGGGGACAACAGUUCGAAAGGACUGCUAAUACCGAAUGUUGUCUUUUUUCCACAUGGAAGAUAUAUUAAAGAUCUCCCAUAUUUAUAAGCUAUCGCUCAAAGAUGGGUCUGCGUCUGAUUAGCUGGUUGGUGGGGUAACGGCCUACCAAGGCGACGAUCAGUAGCCGGUCUGAGAGGAUGAACGGCUACAUUGCGACUGAGACACGGCCCAGACUCCUACGGGAGGCAGCGGUGGGGAAUCUUCCAUAAUGGGCGAAAGUCUGAUGGAGCAACGCCGCGUGAGUGAAGAAGGGUUUCGGCUCGUAAAGCUCUGUUGUCGGGGAAGAAUGUGCAGUAUUUGAAUAAAGUACUGUAAUGACGGUACCUGACGAGGAAGCCACGGCUAACUACGUGCCAGCCGCCGCCGUAA
This 524-nucleotide ribosomal RNA is filed under the name uncultured bacterium. RNAcentral describes it as "partial 16S ribosomal RNA". It matches the Rfam family "Bacterial small subunit ribosomal RNA", at positions 28 to 523 of the family's 1533-position model. The record is from RNAcentral.